This 328-nucleotide ribosomal RNA is filed under the name uncultured soil bacterium. RNAcentral describes it as "bacterial SSU rRNA". It matches the Rfam family "Bacterial small subunit ribosomal RNA", at positions 26 to 346 of the family's 1533-position model. The record is from RNAcentral.
AGAGUGAACGCUGGCGGUAGGCCUAACACAUGCAAGUCGAACGGCAGCACAGUAGGAGCUUGCUCUUACGGGUGGCGAGUGGCGGACGGGUGAGGAAUACAUCGGAAUCUACCUUUUGGUGGGGGAUAACGUAGGGAAACUUACGCUAAUACCGCAUACGCCCUUCGGGGGAAAGCCGGGGACCAGCAAUGGCCUGGUGCUGAUAGAUGAGCCGAUGUCGGAUUAGCUAGUUGGUGAGGCAAUGGCUCACCAAGGCGACGAUCCGUAGCUGGUCUGAGAGGAUGAUCAGCCACACUGGAACUGAGACACGGUCCAGACUCCUACGGGA